This 148-nucleotide ribosomal RNA is filed under the name uncultured archaeon. RNAcentral's name for it is "partial 16S ribosomal RNA". It matches the Rfam family "Archaeal small subunit ribosomal RNA", at positions 325 to 473 of the family's 1478-position model. The record is from RNAcentral.
ACGGGGUGCAGCAGGCGCGAAAACUUUACAAUGCUGGCAACAGCGAUAAGGGAACCUCGAGUGCCAGGUUACAAAUCUGGCUGUCGAGAUGCCUAAAAAGCAUUUCAUAGCAAGGGCCGGGCAAGACCGGUGCCAGCCGCCGCGGUAA